UGCGUACUUGCAGAAAAACCUCUUGCCCUUUUUUUUUAUUUUUGGAGUGAUGCUAGCUUCUAAAAAUAAUGUGAAUAAAAUUGACUUAAAUUCUGGACUCUGCUUGUCUCCUUCAGAAGGAGAAGGCCUGCAUUAUUUCAGAGUUACUUUAACUCUGCUAAUAUGCAUUAGCCACACUAAUGCUGUGAGAGACUUAAUUUCAAAAUAGCAGAAGAAAUACCUAGAAUGUCUUUUAUGUCCUGUGAAAGGAAAGCUAUUCCCUUUUUCGAUCAUAUUGACAGGAAGGCAAAAGUUAAUGAGAGAAACUCCUUUCUGGCUUUUUUUUUCCCAAGUGGACAGGAACAAGCCAAAGAUGCGUGAUAUUGUUUCUUGAUCAAUAACAAUGAAUUAAUCUUAAAAACUCGUAUAAUCUGUUCCCUCCAUGGGAUACAAAGAACACAUAGCCGUGUCCUUGCUCUAUAUUAUGCUGCAGUUUGGCGGUGUCUGAAUAAAUAACAUGCAUGGACUUAGAUCCUCUUUGAUUUCAUCCAUGUGAGUUAUGGCUUUUUGUUUAACGCUUGUCAAAUGUUUCUUUUACAGGUAUGAUUUGUUUCCAAAAACACUGAUGAGUGCUACAACUGGCCUGCACUUGAUCUUAGCUUUUGAUAGGGCUCAGUAAUGCUUUGAUGGAAACAAACUGUCAUUGAACCAAAGAUGAAUGGGCUGCUUGAAGAGAGCUCUAAUUUGCAUGAGAUCUGUGCAAGAACCGGCAACGCUGACAAAAAGUGACUUCCCAACUCCUGAAUCAGAUGUUUUGUGUGACAGCAGCAAGUGCAGCGUAGGCCUUAUGUUGGAUGCCUAGUACUCCCAUUCUAGGGGUGAUACAAAAUGCCUGGCAGGGAGUCCUUAUCUCCUCUGUUCUGUAGAGGCAGUAACUACCUGUGUCUUUAGGAGCUCUCUUCUCUCCCUGGAGCCUGGAAGAGGUCAGGACUCAUGUUAAAGGACAUGAGAGAUGGGGAUGUGUAAGGAAUGCCAUAAAUCUUGGUGGUUUAAGGAUUUUAUUAUAUUCUUUACUGCAGUAGGUACCUCUUCAGUGGUUGGGCUAAAAGGAUAACUGAGGCAACUGAGAUCCCUCUGCUCUCAUACUUCCUUUGAAAGCUGUUACAAGUGACUAUUCCUACUUUUUGUUUGUUAGUCUGGUAGCUUCCAAUUGCAUUGUUAAUAUGAGCAAAUCUCUCACAGUUUUAAUAGGAGAUGUUCAUAUUUAAUGUCUGCAGUGUGAGCUGUUUAUACAUAAGGAUGUCAUCACCAUGAAAAUUAAAAGACAUGAGUAGUUCCAUGUUUCUCCUUAUUUUAAUUACCUUUUAAUUUACUUGUAUUUAAAUUAAGGUUUCUCCUUAAAACUUAAAAAAAGGCAGUUCUCCUUAAACUUGAAAAAAAGCAGUCUUAUUAAGAUGAAAUACUUUGGCUUUCAUGUUAAUUUGUUAUCAUACGUGAAACAAAGAGUUUGCAAUGUG
Centrocercus urophasianus (Greater sage-grouse) is the source of this 1496-nucleotide long non-coding RNA. RefSeq lists it as uncharacterized. The record is from RefSeq and is a predicted model, not a curated record. The transcript is spliced from 2 exons. Lineage: Eukaryota; Metazoa; Chordata; Aves; Galliformes; Phasianidae.